Molecule: ribosomal RNA, 496 nt
Filed under: uncultured bacterium
Lineage: Bacteria
Description: partial 16S ribosomal RNA
Rfam family: Bacterial small subunit ribosomal RNA
Source: RNAcentral
GACGAACGCUGGCGGCGUGCCUAAUACAUGCAAGUUGAGCGCUGAAGGUUGGUACUUGUACCAACUGGAUGAGCAGCGAACGGGUGAGUAACGCGUGGGGAAUCUGCCUUUGAGCGGGGGACAACAUUUGGAAACGAAUGCUAAUACCGCAUAAAAACUUUAAACACAAGUUUUAAGUUUGAAAGAUGCAAUUGCAUCACUCAAAGAUGAUCCCGCGUUGUAUUAGCUAGUUGGUGAGGUAAAGGCUCACCAAGGCGAUGAUACAUAGCCGACCUGAGAGGGUGAUCGGCCACAUUGGGACUGAGACACGGCCCCAACUCCUACGGGAGGCAGCAGUAGGGAAUCUUCGGCAAUGACGAAAGUCUGACCGAGCAACGCCGCGUGAGUGAAGAAGGUUUUCGGAUCGUAAAACUCUGUUGGUAGAGAAGAACGUUGGUGAGAGUGGAAAGCUCAUCAAGUGACGGUAACUACCCAGAAAGGGACGGCUAACUACGUG